AACGAACGCUGGCGGCAGGCCUAACACAUGCAAGUCGAACGCCCCGCAAGGGGAGUGGCAGACGGGUGAGUAACGCGUGGGAACGUACCCUUCGGUUCGGAAUAACCCGGGGAAACUCGGGCUAAUACCGGAUACGUCCGCAAGGAGAAAGAUUUAUCGCCGAAGGAUCGGCCCGCGUCGGAUUAGCUAGUUGGUGGGGUAAUGGCCCACCAAGGCGACGAUCCGUAGCUGGUCUGAGAGGAUGAUCAGCCACACUGGGACUGAGACACGGCCCAGACUCCUACGGGAGGCAGCAGUGGGGAAUAUUGGACAAUGGGCGAAAGCCUGAUCCAGCCAUGCCGCGUGAGUGAAGAAGGCCUUAGGGUUGUAAA
RNAcentral lists this ribosomal RNA (371 nucleotides) under uncultured bacterium. RNAcentral describes it as "bacterial SSU rRNA". It matches the Rfam family "Bacterial small subunit ribosomal RNA", at positions 29 to 429 of the family's 1533-position model. The record is from RNAcentral.